Molecule: ribosomal RNA, 353 nt
Filed under: Triticum aestivum (bread wheat)
Lineage: Eukaryota; Viridiplantae; Streptophyta; Magnoliopsida; Poales; Poaceae
Description: partial small subunit ribosomal RNA
Source: RNAcentral
ACCACAAAUGGGGUCUAAUACAAGAGUAGAAUUUAACAAGUGUGCUACUCUGAAUCAUCAUCACUAUAAAUAGGAAUGAUCUUUCCCAUGGCACAAAGCACGACAAGCACAAACAAAAUCACCCAUGCGCAUGAAACAGAGCAAGGUACUACUAUAGCAGAACAAGAGAGGGAGCUAGAGGUAGGAGAUGGACUCACCGGAGAGGAGGUUGUAGUCGAUGCCGCACACGACCGCGGCCGCAGUCACGCGGUAGAGGAGGUUGUAGCCGAGUUGGACCAUGUGCGGGGUGUCGUCGUGGCAGUGGAUGCCCUGGUUGUCGUCAUCAUCCACGGAGGCUGCCUGCUGCUCCGAAU